RNAcentral lists this long non-coding RNA (845 nucleotides) under Monodelphis domestica (gray short-tailed opossum). RNAcentral's name for it is "lncRNA (ENSMODG00000047296.1)". The record is from RNAcentral. Lineage: Eukaryota; Metazoa; Chordata; Mammalia; Didelphimorphia; Didelphidae.
CUUCUGUCCUCUACCAUUUCCAAAAGUCUAAGUUCAUAUUUGUUGCUUCCACCCUGCCAUUUAUCCAUCUCCACCUCAGCUGUCCCAUUCUCCUUUUGCCUUCAAUCUUUCCCAGCAUUACUGUCUUUUCCAAAGAGUCCUGUCUUCUCCUCAUGUGGCCAAAGCUUCAGCUUCAGUGUUUGUCCUUCCAAUGAAUCAUCAGAAUUAAUUUCUUUAAGCAGUGGCUGACUUGAUCUUCUUGAGGCCCAAGAAACUCUCCAAAGUCUCCUCCAGCACCAUAAAUCUUUAGGCUCAUCACGUCCAAUCCUGUCGUUUUACAGAUGAGAAAAUCGAGAUUCUGAGAGGUUAGAGGAAUGGCCCAAAGUCACACAGCUGGCAAGUGUCUGAGGUAGGAUUUAAACUCAGGUCUUCCUGGUUCUGAGCUCUGCCUGGUAUCUACUGCUCCCCGUAUCUCUCCACUUGUAGGUUGAGUGUUUGCUGCCUGAGAUAGUAGAACAGGGCCCAGAACAGAAUGGCAGGACAGGAAGAAGCUGCAGAUCCUUUUAAUGGUCCGUCCCGAAUCUCCCUGGAAUGAAGGCUUGUUCUUAUAACAGCAGUUCUUCAGUGGAUGGUCUAAGUUCAUCUUUCGUGCAGCAGAAUCCUGAUAAAGCAAACCCCAAUUUUACCACAAUGGAGUUUUGUCCUUGAGUACUACUACAUGAAUGGAGGCGGGAUGAUGGAUCAAACCCAGCUCAUCAACCCUUGGUGAGGCUGCCCAGGACAUACAGUACUUAACUCAGGGAUAAGCUCUCUAGAUGGCCAUUCAACUACAGUGCUGAUUAAUAAAAGAAUUCACAUGAGAGCCA